AAGUUAAAACUUUCAACAACGGAUCUCUUGGCUCUAGCAUCGAUGAAGAACGCAGCGAAAUGCGAUACGUAAUGUGAAUUGCAGAACUCAGUGAAUCAUCGAAUCUUUGAACGCACAUUGCACCUGGCAGCAUUCUGCCAGGUAUGCCUGUCCGAGCGUCAUUUCACCACUCAAGCUCUGCUUG
Molecule: ribosomal RNA, 184 nt
Filed under: Thielaviopsis paradoxa
Lineage: Eukaryota; Fungi; Ascomycota; Sordariomycetes; Microascales; Ceratocystidaceae
Description: 5.8S ribosomal RNA
Rfam family: 5.8S ribosomal RNA (bases 8-161)
About the family: 5.8S ribosomal RNA (5.8S rRNA) is a component of the large subunit of the eukaryotic ribosome. It is transcribed by RNA polymerase I as part of the 45S precursor that also contains 18S and 28S rRNA.
Source: RNAcentral